CCCACAGGGAAGAGAAGCCCCAGGGCCCACCUGGGGAGGCGGAGGCCUGCAGGUCUGACUGAUGGGCCGUAGUCUCCUCUGGUCUCAGGCUCCCAGCCCUCAACCCAUGUGGACACCACAAAUCCUCCAGGCCACAGGUGCAAGAACACCAGGCCCUGAUCAGUGGCUGCCGAGACGCCUGAGGGCAUGGAGCCAUGGGAACACAACCCCACAGCACGGGAUACAAGCCCGCCCCUGCCGCCGGCACCCAAGCUGCUACCUCGGCUUCUCCGGCUCAUGCGAAGCUUGGCCGUAUGAAGCAGGUGGGCUGAGCCUGCACCCUGAAAACCAGAGCCCUGAGGGCCCCACGCAGUGGCAAAGGAGAGCCCACUAUCUCCUGUUUUCAGUUUCACUUUUACCAUCGUAAAAGAAGAGCAGUUUUGGUGCAUUUUUCAACCUCUCAACAAAAACACACACGGAAGAAGAUUCCAACAGCACCCUGCUCUUGCUGGGACCCGCUCCGUGACAAUGCAGCCAGGGACGGUCAGAGACAGACCCAAGGCUCAUGUUGCUGGGACCUGCUCCGUGACAAUGCAUCCGGGACGGUCCGAGACAGACCCAAGGCCCAGGCCAGAUGCCUGCACAAGACUUGAUCCGUGACAAUGCCGCUGGGGACAGUCAGAGACAGACCCAAGGCCCAGACCAGAUGCCUGCACAAGACUUGCUCCGUGACAAUGCCGCUGGGGACAGUCAGAGACAGACCCAAGGCCCAUCGUGCUGGGACUCGCUCCGUGACAAUGCAGCUGGGAUGGUCAGAGAUAGAACCAAGGCCCAGACCAGACGCCUGCACGAGACCUGCUCUUGCUGGGACCCAGCUCCAUGACAAUGCAGCUGGGAUGGUCAGAGACAGACCCAAGGCCCAGGACAGACGCCUGCACAAGAUCCCAGGCACAGAUGCCCCACCCCACGAGCAGGGCUUCUCAGUUGGCCGCAGGGGCACUCAGCGUGGUGACCAGCAAGAGACAAACAGCAGCACUGCUCAAGAAUCCACUGGGGAUUGUGGGGAAAAAACAGAGGAAGGGGAAGUAAGGGGAGAAGGAAAUCAGGUAGAAAACCCAGAAAUACAGAAGAUGCUAGCGAGUGAGUGAGCACGCACUGUCCAUGCCACAUCCUCAGACAGUGCCGAGCCAAGUUCCUCCAUAUCCCAUGGCACAGACACAGCACAACGCGCCUGGGCAUGGCCGUCACACCUGAACCACCAGUCACUAUGGGACGGCUCCGCACAUGCUCAGGACAGCCUCAGAAUGCUGUCCACUGUGUCGUCAGCUGCAGCAGGCUCCCAGUCGGAGCCGGGCUCUCCUCUGCGUCCUUCGUGACUGUCCAGAGGGAAGGCUGAGGUGCCACGACAUCCCGCCAGCUCCAGGCGUGCACCGGGCGCCAGCACCAUUCCCACUGCCGGGCUCUGACUUACAGAGGGGGUGGGCUGGGGUGGGGGAGAGCUCCUCCAGGGCUGCUGUUUGUGAUUUUGUUUAGAGGAUGUUUGAGCUGAUGAUUCCAAUGUGAUCCGCAAGAAUUAAGUGAAAGGCAAGAUGCAGUGAUCUUUGUGCGUUCCAAAACGGCCGCUUAGCAGAACUCCAGUCCAAGUUGAGGUAAGAGAAAAUGAUUAGGGUCCAAAGAGUGAACUACCCAGCACAUUAGUGGUUAAAGUGAG
RNAcentral lists this long non-coding RNA (1690 nucleotides) under Pan troglodytes (chimpanzee). RNAcentral's name for it is "long non-coding RNA NONPTRT009662". The record is from RNAcentral. Lineage: Eukaryota; Metazoa; Chordata; Mammalia; Primates; Hominidae.